CAGCCGUAAACUAUGCGCGUUAGGUGUAUCGGUGACCACGAGUUACCGAGGUGCCGAAGGGAAACCGUGAAACGUGCCGCCUGGGAAGUACGGUCGCAAGGCUGAAACUUAAAGGAAUUGGCGGGGGAGCACCACAACAGGUGGAGCCUGCGGUUUAAUUGGAUUCAACGCCGGACAUCUCACCGGAUAAGACAGCUGAAUGAUUGUCAAUCUGAAGGUUUUACAUGACUAGCUGAGAGGAGGUGCAUGGCGUCAGUGACU
Molecule: ribosomal RNA, 261 nt
Filed under: uncultured archaeon
Lineage: Archaea
Description: partial 16S ribosomal RNA
Rfam family: Archaeal small subunit ribosomal RNA
Source: RNAcentral